AGAGUUUGAUCCUGGCUCAGGAUGAACGCUGGCGGCGUGCCUAAUACAUGCAAGUCGAGCGAACGGACGAGAAGCUUGCUUCUCUGAUGUUAGCGGCGGACGGGUGAGUAACACGUGGAUAACCUACCUAUAAGACUGGGAUAACUUCGGGAAACCGGAGCUAAUACCGGAUAAUAUUUUGAACCGCAUGGUUCAAAAGUGAAAGACGGUCUUGCUGUCACUUAUAGAUGGAUCCGCGCUGCAUUAGCUAGUUGGUAAGGUAACGGCUUACCAAGGCAACGAUGCAUAGCCGACCUGAGAGGGUGAUCGGCCACACUGGAACUGAGACACGGUCCAGACUCCUACGGGAGGCAGCAGUAGGGAAUCUUCCGCAAUGGGCGAAAGCCUGACGGAGCAACGCCGCGUGAGUGAUGAAGGUCUUCGGAUCGUAAAACUCUGUUAUUAGGGAAGAACAUAUGUGUAAGUAACUGUGCACAUCUUGACGGUACCUAAUCAGAAAGCCACGGCUAACUACGUGCCAGCAGCCGCGGUAAUACGUAGGUGGCAAGCGUUAUCCGGAAUUAUUGGGCGUAAAGCGCGCGUAGGCGGUUUUUUAAGUCUGAUGUGAAAGCCCACGGCUCAACCGUGGAGGGUCAUUGGAAACUGGAAAACUUGAGUGCAGAAGAGGAAAGUGGAAUUCCAUGUGUAGCGGUGAAAUGCGUAGAGAUAUGGAGGAACACCAGUGGCGAAGGCGACUUUCUGGUCUGUAACUGACGCUGAUGUGCGAAAGCGUGGGGAUCAAACAGGAUUAGAUACCCUGGUAGUCCACGCCGUAAACGAUGAGUGCUAAGUGUUAGGGGGUUUCCGCCCCUUAGUGCUGCAGCUAACGCAUUAAGCACUCCGCCUGGGGAGUACGACCGCAAGGUUGAAACUCAAAGGAAUUGACGGGGACCCGCACAAGCGGUGGAGCAUGUGGUUUAAUUCGAAGCAACGCGAAGAACCUUACCAAAUCUUGACAUCCUUUGACAACUCUAGAGAUAGAGCCUUCCCCUUCGGGGGACAAAGUGACAGGUGGUGCAUGGUUGUCGUCAGCUCGUGUCGUGAGAUGUUGGGUUAAGUCCCGCAACGAGCGCAACCCUUAAGCUUAGUUGCCAUCAUUAAGUUGGGCACUCUAAGUUGACUGCCGGUGACAAACCGGAGGAAGGUGGGGAUGACGUCAAAUCAUCAUGCCCCUUAUGAUUUGGGCUACACACGUGCUACAAUGGACAAUACAAAGGGCAGCGAAACCGCGAGGUCAAGCAAAUCCCAUAAAGUUGUUCUCAGUUCGGAUUGUAGUCUGCAACUCGACUACAUGAAGCUGGAAUCGCUAGUAAUCGUAGAUCAGCAUGCUACGGUGAAUACGUUCCCGGGUCUUGUACACACCGCCCGUCACACCACGAGAGUUUGUAACACCCGAAGCCGGUGGAGUAACCUUUUAGGAGCUAGCCGUCGAAGGUGGGACAAAUGAUUGGGGUGAAGUCGUAACAAGGUAGCCGUAUCGGAAGGUGCGGCUGGAUCACCU
RNAcentral lists this ribosomal RNA (1540 nucleotides) under Staphylococcus aureus. RNAcentral describes it as "16S ribosomal RNA". It matches the Rfam family "Bacterial small subunit ribosomal RNA". The record is from RNAcentral. Lineage: Bacteria; Bacillati; Bacillota; Bacilli; Caryophanales; Staphylococcaceae.